Molecule: microRNA, 21 nt
Filed under: Physcomitrium patens
Lineage: Eukaryota; Viridiplantae; Streptophyta; Bryopsida; Funariales; Funariaceae
Description: ppt-miR11326
Source: miRBase by way of RNAcentral
UCGGGAGAUCUGUCGCGAUGC